GACACUAGCUUAUGCGCGUGACCCCGACCGCCCCCGCCUUUGGGAUUUUUUCCUCUGUUUGCCGAAAAGGAGAUUCCCUGUCGGAAUUUUAUCGCUUUUCUACGAGAAAAAUGACGUAAAAAUUGAUUUUAAACAGCGGUUGACAUGCUUCGACGUACGGCAAUUGAAUACUUUGAAUUUUAUUGUCAGGAAUUGCGCCAAGCGCCGACACUUCUUUACUAUUUCGGAUAGUGUCUGGAACGCACGAACAAAACGCCGCUAUUCGGAUAUAACGAUGGAUUAUUUUGGACCAAACCAACAUUUGUUAUUGAAGUAGACGUCCUGGGUGUGCAUUCUGACGAAGACAACAAAAGUACACCAGCAGUAUGAGAGAAGUUUGGACUGGAUCUCCAUGCGAAAAACAACACACAGUUGAGACCCCCCCCCCCCAAAUUGGCUUAUACUACCCUAUCGUCUUGGCAAUCUCACUGUGGCGUUACAGGUCAGGGAGUCAGAGGGCUAAUCCAGCAGACCCAAUCAGCUUCGUGUGGAAUCUGAAGUGCUGUAAGGAGGAACUCUCUAACUACAGAUUCAGGAACUUCUCCUUCUUUCUCUUGGAUACCUGUGUUUGCCAACACCUGAUGGGCAUGGCAGUGUAGAUCCUGGACUUCCUGACAUGCCACCUCCAAGUGGUUAAGGAAGGAAACAACACCUCCACUUCGCUGAUCCUCAACACUGAGGCCCCACAAGGAUGAGUGGCCACGCACGCCUCCAACUCGAUCAUCAAGUUUGCAGAUGACACAACAGUAGUAGGCCUGAUUACCAACAAUGACGAGUCCGCCUACAGGGAGGAGGUGAGGGCCCUGGGAGUGUGGUGCCAGGAAAAUAACCUCUCACCCAAUGUCAACAAAACAAAGCUGAUCGUGGACUUCAGGAAAUAGCAGAGGGCGACGGGACCGCAGUGGAGAAGUUCCUCGGCAAACACAUCACUGACAAAAUGAAAUGGUCCACCCACACAGAGAGUGUUUUGAAGAAGGCACAACAGCUUCUCUUCAACUUCAGGAGGCUAAAGAAAUUUGGCUUGGCACCUAAAACCCUCACAAACUUCUACAGAUGCACAAUUGAGAGCAUCCUGUCGGGCUGUAUCACCGCCUGGUACGGCAACUGCAUUGCCCACAACCACAGGGCUCUCCAGAGGGUUGUUGUGUCUUUGGCAUGAUUAAAG
Molecule: long non-coding RNA, 1204 nt
Filed under: Salmo salar (Atlantic salmon)
Lineage: Eukaryota; Metazoa; Chordata; Actinopteri; Salmoniformes; Salmonidae
Description: lncRNA (ENSSSAG00000101920.1)
Source: RNAcentral